Molecule: unclassified non-coding RNA, 21 nt
Filed under: Dictyostelium discoideum
Lineage: Eukaryota; Evosea; Eumycetozoa; Dictyosteliales; Dictyosteliaceae
Source: RNAcentral
AACCUUGUUUGACCAUUGAUG